AGAGAGAGACAUGCGCGCAUAUCAAUAAGCGGAGGAAAAGAAACUAACAAGGAUUCCCUUAGUAACGGCGAGUGAAGCGGGAAGAGCUCAAAUUUGAAAUCUUCAAGGUUCUACCUUGACGAAUUGUAGUUUAUAGAAGUGUUUUCUGUUAGUGGAGUGGCAAAAGUUCUUUGGAAUAGGACAUCAUAGAGGGUGAGAAUCCCGUAUUUGGUCAUUCCUCCUAGCGUUGUGAUACACUUUCAACGAGUCGGAUUGUUUGGGAAUGCAGUCCAAAAUGGGUGGUAAAUUUCAUCUAAAGCUAAAUAUUGGCGAGAGACCGAUAGCGAACAAGUACCGUGAGGGAAAGAUGAAAAGAACUUUGAAAAGAGAGUUAAACAGUACGUGAAAUUGUCAAAAGGGAAGCGUUUGACACCAGUGUUGUUUUUCCGAAAAUCAAUUACGAAUGUUUUAGUUUUUGAGGAGUUAUGACUUCAUCGGCUUGCUUCUCUCUUUACGAAACUUUCUUAAUGCACUUUUCGGUUAACAAGUCAACAUCAAUUUCUUUUGUUGUAAAAGGGUAUGAGGAAGGUGGCUUUCUUUUCGGAGGAAGUGUUUAUAGCCUUGUGCCUCUGCAAUCGGAGAGAUUGAGGUCUGCAGCGUAGAUCCUUCGGGGUUAGAUACGUUUGUGCUAAGUUAUAGCUUUUCAUAGACAACUUGUUGACUAUGUUUAGUCUUGUAGCUUACUCGCUGAUGCUAUUUUACCUACGCUUAGGAUGUUGAUAGUCACAGCGUGUAC
Molecule: ribosomal RNA, 775 nt
Filed under: uncultured Neocallimastigales
Lineage: Eukaryota; Fungi; Neocallimastigomycota; Neocallimastigomycetes; Neocallimastigales
Description: partial large subunit ribosomal RNA
Rfam family: Eukaryotic large subunit ribosomal RNA
Source: RNAcentral